Hypoxylon sp. FL1150 is the source of this 74-nucleotide non-coding RNA. The record is from the annotation of a GenBank genome assembly. NCBI's taxonomy places the organism in Eukaryota, Fungi, Ascomycota, Sordariomycetes, Xylariales, Hypoxylaceae.
AUUAGUAUGGUGUAAUGGGUAACAUGCCUCCCUCUCAGGGAGGAGUUGGGGGUUCGAUUCCCUACCUACCUAUG